CGGAGGGGGCGAGUGUUGUUCGGAAUUACUGGGCGUAAAGGGCGCGCAGGCGGCCUGGCAAGUCGAGUGUGAAAUCCCUUGGCUUAACUGAGGAAUGGCGCUCGAAACUACCUCGCUGGAGGGCGGGAGAGGGAAGUGGAACUCUCGGUGUAGGGGUGAAAUCUGUAGAUAUCGAGAGGAACACCGGUGGCGAAGGCGGCUUCCUGGCCCGUACCUGACGCUGAGGCGCGAGAGCGUGGGGAGCAAACAGGAUUAGAUACCCUGGUAGUCCACGCCCUAAACGAUGGGCACUAGGUGUGGGCGGUAUUAAUCCCGCCUGUGCCGUAGCUAACGCAUUAAGUGCCCCGCCUGGGGAGUACGGUCGCAAGGCUG
RNAcentral lists this ribosomal RNA (372 nucleotides) under uncultured organism. RNAcentral's name for it is "bacterial SSU rRNA". It matches the Rfam family "Bacterial small subunit ribosomal RNA", at positions 526 to 896 of the family's 1533-position model. The record is from RNAcentral.